UAGGUGACAGGUGCUGCAUGGCUGUCGUCAGCUCGUGUCGUGAGAUGUUGGGUUAAGUCCCGCAACGAGCGCAACCCUCGCCUUUAGUUGCCAGCAUUUAGUUGGGUACUCUAAAGGAACCGCCGGUGAUAAGCCGGAGGAAGGUGGGGAUGACGUCAAGUCCUCAUGGCCCUUACGCGUUGGGCUACACACGUGCUACAAUGGCGACUACAGUGGGCAGCUAUCCCGCGAGGGU
This 235-nucleotide ribosomal RNA is filed under the name uncultured Sphingobium sp. RNAcentral describes it as "partial 16S ribosomal RNA". It matches the Rfam family "Bacterial small subunit ribosomal RNA", at positions 1028 to 1264 of the family's 1533-position model. The record is from RNAcentral. Lineage: Bacteria; Pseudomonadati; Pseudomonadota; Alphaproteobacteria; Sphingomonadales; Sphingobiaceae.